CCCUCAUAAAAUUUCGGUCAUCUUCUCUCUCUCACUCCUCCAAAUUACUUUCUUAAAGUUUCAUGAAACCAUAAGAGAGAAAAAAGAAAGAAAAACCUUCAUAGAAGUUUACUUUCAAGCUUGGUAAAUGAAGGAUUCAAAAUUCAAAUCAAAAUUUUAAACCGAUUAAAGUCUUCUUCUCAUCUUUCUUUUCAUCCUCAUAUCAAUUUUCUGAAGGAAAUCCUAUCUAAAAGCCUCAAGGAACAAAGAACAAUCAAUUUCUAACUUGAAAGGUGUUAUAAGAAAUUCAAAGCCACAAGUCUCAAACUCAAAGGGUGAAGUUCAGAUCAGUUUGGCAGAGUUUGUGUGCCAGAAAAGAGAAGAAUUGGAAGCUGCCAAGCUGGCGCUAAACGCGGACCUGGGUGUUUAGUGCCAGCAGCUCAGAAGCGCGAGAGAGCUCUCUCUCCACAAGGGAGCUAAACGCCAGACCUGAUGUUUAGCGCCAGCAAGCCAGAAUGAAUAGAAGCGUUUCUGCCACCUAGGGUGCUAAACGCCGAAUCUGGCAUUUAGCACCAACAAUGCGGAUCACACUUCAUCAAAAGAGUAUCUUUAGUUAGAUUUAACUUUUAAUUAUUCUAUUUUAUUUUAUUUUAGUUAUUUUUAAUUAUAAAUAAAAUAUUUUAGGUUUAGAAUUUAUUAUUUUAUUUUAGUUUCAAAUUUUUUCUUCCGCACUUUCACAUUUUUUGAACCCUAGUUUUCUCUCGAAGUCAUGAGCUGCUAAACCUCUUUGGUUAAGGUUAGAAGCUCUAUUUAUUUCUAUGUAUUAAGACUAUUAUUUUUCUAUUUUAAUUAAUGUAUUGAUUCAGUUUUAAGGAUUAUUAUCGUUCUUUAUCUUAUGAAUAUAGGUAUAUCAGAAGAAUAACCUUUAUUCUAUAUGCAUUCUUGUGAUUCUCGGAAGAGUUAUCUCAAUUGAAUACCAACUUGAGAGUAAAUUCCUCCUAAAUUGCUAAUUACUUGAACUUAAUGGGAUAUGUGACAUAUAAUCCUUUUAUAUUUGGGUAAUUAGGGUUCUGUAGCCAAUAAACUAGAAUUGAACAUAACCCUCUAAUCUAUAUUAAAUGACUAAGACAUUGGCGGUUGAUUAGGUUAGAAGAGACUAAAUCACUAGAAAUUAGGGUUUAGUCAAUUACAGUUUGCCAUGAAAUGAAUUUGCAUGAUUAAAAUAGUUGGUAAGAAAACUUAAUCCGGACAAAUAAAUUACUCCGAAAUCUUAAUUGUUUUCUCCCAUAUAUUUAACAGCAAUUUAUUGUUUGCUUUCUGAUUCUCUGAUUUUACUGUUUAAUGCAAUUGAACUCUGUAAACAUAAUUUUCUACUUGCCUGACUGAGUAAUUCAUUCGACUAUCGUUGCUCAGUCCAUCAAUCUUUGUAAGAUUGAUCCUCAUUCACUUGAUGUAUUACUUGAUACGACCCGGUGCACUUACUAGUUCAAUUGUGAUAUUCUAAUUGCGCACCAGCAAGUUCUUCUGAGUUAAUGAAGUCAUUAAAGUCUUGAAUUGACUUCGCUGAGUUAUCUUUGCCUCCUUCCUUCUCAUGGUGAAAUCUCAACCAUCAAUAUUGAUCCUCCAAGCAACAAUGCUGGAAAUUCUUUUCAACAACCAUUUAUCAUCAAUCAACGAUCUUUCACACUUAUUUCUGAUAAAUCGGGUGAAAACAAUCACAAAAUUUGGCUGCAGCAAGAUCUAGCUGCUAUUAGAGGCCAAGAUCUAGAAGAACACCUGUAUGCAGAUCGAGUUCCAUCCCAAAAAUCAACAACAACACAAGGUUCCUCCACAAACACCACAACUUACAAGUAAUGGUGUCAAGAUUAUCAAAAUUUAAAAUUCACCUGAUUUUAAAGGAUAUAGAUGCCUCUCUUCUAGUGAAAAAAUGUACAUUUCAAGAAGUGUUCAUUUUGAUGAAACUCAAUUUUCAUAUUCUGAAUUAUUCACUCUAUUGAUAGAAUUAUAACUAAUGACACUGAUAAUCAUGAUUUUGCAUCCUCUUUCACCAAACACUCUUUACUGCAUACAGAUCAUCAUCGUAUUACUACUGAUACUACUUCUAAAUCAAACACUAGUCACAUUAAUUCUCAAAUUGAUUGUCUUGAUAUUACUGAGAAUGACAUUAAUAAUGAAUUACAUAAUUCUAAUUUACCCCCUAAAUUCCUCCCAAAUUCCAAUUUCAAGCAUUGAAAUACAACACUCUGCCUUGGAUACUGAUGCCAUUGAACUAAAUUUACCUCAUAUUCAACGUUGUGCACUUAAUGCUAAUAGACACUAUGGUUACUAGGUCUAAGGCUAACAACAACAAUCCCAAAGUCUUAAAUUCUAUCAUUAUUUCCCCUGAUUACACACAACAACCACCAAAAUCUACUAAAAUAGCAGUUACUAUACCUCAUUGGCAUAAAGUCAUGAUGAUGGAAGAAUAUCAAAUCCCUGUGAAAGCUAAGACAUGGAUUGUAGUUCCACCACCACAUCAUGCUAAACCCACAGGCAGUAAAUGAAUUUUUACCAUUAAGAAGCAUCCAGAUGAAACUAUACAAAAGUACAAAGCUAGACUUAUUGCUCAAGGCUUUCAUUAAGAGGAAGGCUUUGAUUUUGAGCAAGUCUUUAGUCCUGUAAUUUGGUCAUCUACAAUUCGAUUAGUUUUAAGCAUAGCUUUAUCUAAAAAUUGGAUUUUGAGGUAGUUUAAUUUUAAUAAUGCAUUUCUAAAUGGGGAUUCAAAUCAAAUCUUAUAUAUGUAUCAACCAGUUGGUUUUGAACAAAUUCUAUCUAACUAUGUUUGCAAGUUGCAUAAAUCCAUUUAUGGAUUGAAACAGGCCCCUAGACAAUGGUUUACUAAACUAAGUACUACUCUUUACUCCUUUAGUCUUCAUAACACUAAAUCUUACACACCUUUAUUUGUUAAACAAAUUCUAGUUCAGUUAUCUAUCUUUUGUGCUAUGUAGAUAACAUAAUCAUUAUAGAGAACAAUGCUACUAAAGUUCAAUCCUUAAUCAAUUCAUUGGAUAAAGUGUUUUCUUUGAAAAAUUUAGGAAAUUUAAAAUUUUUUUGGGCAUUGAGGUUCAAAGAACUAACUUAGGACAAUUAUAUCUCUCAUAAACAAAGUAUAUCACUGAUGAGUUGUUAACCAAAUUGGGAAUGGCAUGAUCCAAUUCAAUGCCUACUCCAAUGAUCUCUUCCCUUCAACUCCUCUCAACAGGUUUAGAUACCUUUGAAGAUCCUAAUUCUUCAGAAUACUGAUUGGAUCUUUGCUAUACUUAACCAUCACAAGACCAAAUGUGGCAUAUGCAGUGAACAAGAUUAGUCAAUUCAUGCAUUCACUCUUCUUGUUCACUAGAAAGCUGAAAACGAGUUCUAAGAUACCUUCAAUGAACUAAAAAGCAUAGACUUAUGAUACAUAGAUGCCAGAAUUAUAGACUAUAUAGUUUUUCAGAUUCAAAUUCGGCAACUGAUCUUGAAGAUUGCAAGUCUGUUUCUGGUUUUUGUGUGUUUUCAGGUACUAAUCUAAUUUCUUGGACAUACAGAAAACAGCACACAAUUAGCAGAUCAUCUAUAGAGUUAGAAUUUCAAAGUCUUGCAUCAUGUGAAGCUGAGUUGGAGUGGCUCAAAAACUUGCUCCUAGAAUUAUAAAUUCUUCUCAAGACAACACCUACAAUAUUCUGUGAUAACAUGAGCCAAUUCUUCUAACGGCAAAGCCCUACUCGAGUUUGAAGAGUGUAUUAAAACUACACAUAAAAAAGUUCAAGAAAACAAAUUUCAAGAACUUACCUAACUAAGUGCAUAUAUAAAUUUUUGUUAUUACUGGUUGUUCUGAUUUCUAACUAGCUGCUAUGCUAGAGCUGCAAUAAGAUGCAUGUAUGAGUCAUGUAUAUAAGGUGGACCAUUUAGAUAAAUGGGUGUACGGGGAUUCUAGCUAUUCAUUUUGAAUACAGCAUAGAAUUUUCUUAUCUGAAUUUCUCUUCUUUCUUUCUUACUGCACAAACAAUUACUUCUGAUUUCUGUUAGCUAAUAUAUACAUAAUUGAUUCUUAUUGCAUUUAAUAAUUAUAUUUUAAAUAAUUUAACAAAAACUAUGAAUAAACCGGUGCAAAGCAGGGGCUAAACUCUAGUUGUUUUCUAAUGCUUGGUAGCAUGAGUAGUUGAGAUUUUUGUGUGACUCUGUUUGUGGUGUUUUCUCAUUCACUCUAUUUGCAUCCUUAACACCAGACAAUCAAAAAAAAAAAA
Molecule: long non-coding RNA, 4244 nt
Organism: Arachis duranensis
Lineage: Eukaryota; Viridiplantae; Streptophyta; Magnoliopsida; Fabales; Fabaceae
Exons: 5
Source: RefSeq, a predicted model, not a curated record